GCAUGGAAUAAUAAAAAUAGGCGUGCGUUUCUAAUUUUGUUGGUUCUAGAGACGCCGCAAUGAUUAACAGAACAGUCGGGGGCAUCAGUAUUCAGUGUCAGAGGUGAAAUUCUUGGAUCUACUGAAGACUAACUACUGCGAAAGCAUUUGCCAAGGAUGUUUUCAUUAAUCAGUGAACGAAAGUUAGGGGAUCGAAGACGAUCAGAUACCGUCGUAGUCUUAACCGUAAACUAUGCCGACUAGGGAUCGGGCGAUGUUCUUUUUCUGACUCGCUCGGCACCUUACGAGAAAUCAAAGUUUUUGGGUUCUGGGGGGAUUAUGGUCGCAAGGCUGAAACUUAAAGAAAUUGACGGAAGGUCACCACCAGGCGUGGAGCCUGCGGCUUAAUUUGACUCAACACGGGGAAACUCACCAGGUUCAGAUGAAAUAAGGAUUGACUGAUUGAGAGCUCUUUCUUGAUUUUUCAGGUGGUGGUGCAUGGCCGUUCUUAGUUCGUGGGGUGACUUGUCUGCUUAAUUGCGAUAACGAGCGAGACCUUACUCUGCUAAAUAGCCAGGCUAGCUUUGGCUGGUCGCCGGCUUCUUAGAGAGACUAUCAACUCAAGUUGAUGGAAGUUUGAGGCAAUAACAGGUCUGUGAUGCCCUUAGAUAUUCUGGGCCGCACGCGCGCUACACUGACAGAGCCAACGAGUUCUUUCCCUUGGCCGAAAGGUCUGGGUAAUCUUGUUAAACUCUGUCGUGCUGGGGAUAAAGCAUUGCAAUUAUUGCUUUUCAACGAGGAAUGCCUAGUAAGCGCGUGUCAUCAGCAUGCGUUGAUUACGUCCCUGACCUUUGCACACACCGCCCGUC
This 848-nucleotide ribosomal RNA is filed under the name uncultured fungus. RNAcentral's name for it is "SSU rRNA". It matches the Rfam family "Eukaryotic small subunit ribosomal RNA", at positions 807 to 1677 of the family's 1831-position model. The record is from RNAcentral. Lineage: Eukaryota; Fungi.